AGAGUUUGAUCAUGGCUCAGAAUCGACGCUGGCGGCGUGCCUAACACAUGCAAGUCGAACGCGAUAGCCCCGCAAGGGGUAAGUAGAGUGGCAAACGGGUGAGUAACACGUGGGUGACCUACCUUCGAGUGGGGGAUAACGUCCCGAAAGGGACGCUAAUACCGCAUGACAUCCUGCUUUUGGAAAAGCGGAGAUCAAAGCCGGGGAUCGCAAGACCUGGCGCUUGACGAGGGGCCCGCGCCUGAUUAGCUAGUUGGUGGGGUAACGGCCUACCAAGGCAACGAUCAGUAUCCGGCCUGAGAGGGCGGACGGACACACUGGGACUGAGACACGGCCCAGACUCCUACGGGAGGCAGCAGUGGGGAAUUGUUCGCAAUGGGCGCAAGCCUGACGACGCAACGCCGCGUGGAGGACGAAGAUCUUCGGGUCGUAAACUCCUGUCGAGCGGGAAGAACGCUUCCCGGGUGAAUAAUCCGGGGAAUUGACGGUACCGCUAAAGGAAGCCCCGGCUAACUCCGUGCCAGCCGCCGCGGUAAUAC
This 539-nucleotide ribosomal RNA is filed under the name uncultured bacterium. RNAcentral describes it as "bacterial SSU rRNA". It matches the Rfam family "Bacterial small subunit ribosomal RNA", at positions 8 to 526 of the family's 1533-position model. The record is from RNAcentral.